This is a long non-coding RNA of Leptinotarsa decemlineata (Colorado potato beetle), 333 nucleotides long. NCBI's taxonomy places the organism in Eukaryota, Metazoa, Arthropoda, Insecta, Coleoptera, Chrysomelidae. The record is from RefSeq and is a predicted model, not a curated record.
AAAUGAGAAGGUGUAUUAUUCGCUAGGGGAAGAAGCAAAAUAUUAUUCAUCUUCGGAUGAGGGAGUAGAUUUUUCAUUGAACAUCGAUAAUGCAAGAUGCAGUUUUUACCCCGAGUGGUGGGGGUUCUGCACUUGUACUGGGCAAGAAGAAUACGUUCCACCGGAGUCUACCUCUUGCCCCAAACCCAAGCCCAUCUCUGACAGAAAACAAACAAGAAACACAUGAAACAGCCGAGCCGCCACCUCCUGUUGCCUCUCCAAACUUGAGCCAACCUCCAGCAACUACCAACACCCACAGUGAAGAUAAAAAUUAAUAAAUUAUUUUAAAUUCAA